AUUUAGAUGCUUUACAUCGCCUGUCUGAUGUCGCCUCAAAACUACAGUUUGGGAUGAUGACAAACACAUUGAGGGAUGCCACAAGGUCAGUGGCUUCUCAGAGUUUCUGGCCACACGGUUAAUAAUGUUUUGAAGGCUUUUUAAACUUCAGAAAAUAAACGGUUUACUUAACAGCCUGCGGCUUUUCUAGUUGAACUGCAGGUAAAACCUCACGGAGACACGCAGAUGAACUUCCAGACUGAACCGUGUCCGUGUCCACGGAGAGAGCAGCAGCAGCAGCAGCGCGCAUUGUCCUAGGAUGUUUUACAGUAUAUGGGUGCCCCCUAGCGUAUGAAGGCUUUGCUUCAAAUGAGAUUCAACUUAGAGAAGCCAUCCGACACUGAAACCGCUUCAGUCUCUUUUGCCGCAUCGAACCAAACUAACGAGCACCAUGUUAAACUGAUGACUGUUUGCUUAAAUUCUCUUUUACAUAACCUGGACGGCAAAGCUUCGAGAAGUGGCAAAGUUGGAUUUACUUUUUGCCACUUAAGGCAGUUUCGGCGGCGGUAUUUUAGACCAAUUGUUUCUUUAUUCUGAAAGCAAACGAGGCGAUUCUAGGUCGUCUGAAUGACUAUUUUGUCGAUUUUAUUUACAGGACUCGUGAGAAAUUGAAGAGCCUGUAAAUAAAAACACUCCGAAAAAGGGUAUUCGUUCACCGCGGAUCCAGCGCUCUUCCAAUGCAUCUCAUUGCGCUGCUGUUUGAAGGCAAAGAAAAAACUGGUCCAAUAACUAAAAUGUGUGCGUGUACGUUUGGCUUCAUAACCAUGUUACCUGACAUCAUUAAUGUUUCAAACUGUUUCUGUAGAACUAAAAGAAUGAAUAAAACAUAAGGGGAAUCUUCUCAUAUCACAAUAUUCUAACACUUAAAUUAACACAACAUAUUUGACAAUUAUGUGGGCAUAAAAUGAUUUUGUUCCCUUCACGCUGCUGUCAUCUUAAAGCACAUUGAUUCUUUCGAUUUGACUUUCCUUCUUUGUGGUUGAAUCCUGACUUUUGUAUGACUUGUCCUUUAAAUUAUAUUUGUGUCUGUUUUCAGAGUACGUAAUUACAGAAAAUUGCAUUCCAUUAUCACAAUUAAAACCCUCUUUUUGUAAA
Long non-coding RNA from Gasterosteus aculeatus aculeatus (three-spined stickleback), 1134 nucleotides. RefSeq lists it as uncharacterized. Lineage: Eukaryota; Metazoa; Chordata; Actinopteri; Perciformes; Gasterosteidae. The record is from RefSeq and is a predicted model, not a curated record.